CCAAAUUUUCCUUUUGGUAAAUUUGACCUUGCAGGUUCCUUUUUCUAGUAAAUUUCAUUAAUUACAAAUCCCAUUUGCUUAAAUCUCUUUCUCUCCAACAAUUCUUUCACAUUUUCUUCACUUAAAACCUCUCAAAGACUCAACCUUUUUCACUCUGUCUUGUCAAAAAAAUUGAAUCUUGGUGAGUUCAAGAAAACAUGAAUUGGGUUGUUGUUGAAAUUCAUGAAAGUUGUAAUCUUUUACAUGAAAAACACUUGAAAGACUGAAUCUUUUGUUCAUUUUCUGUUGUCACAAAUCAAAAAGUUUGAG
Molecule: long non-coding RNA, 309 nt
Filed under: Solanum tuberosum (potato)
Lineage: Eukaryota; Viridiplantae; Streptophyta; Magnoliopsida; Solanales; Solanaceae
Description: long non-coding RNA (STUB_LNC006942)
Source: RNAcentral